Molecule: ribosomal RNA, 206 nt
Filed under: uncultured bacterium
Lineage: Bacteria
Description: partial 16S ribosomal RNA
Rfam family: Bacterial small subunit ribosomal RNA
Source: RNAcentral
UACGAGGGUGCAAGCGUUAAUCGGAAUUACUGGGCGUAAAGCGCGCGUAGUGGUCGUUAGACACGUGGAUGUGAAAGCCCCGGGCUCAACCUGGGAACUGCGUUUGGAACUACAAGACUAGAGUGUGUCAGAGGGGGGUGGAAUUCCGCGUGUAGCAGUGAAAUGCGUAGAGAUGCGGAGGAACACCGAUGGCGAAGGCAGCCCCU